AAACGGCGUCUAAUACUGGAUAUGUGACGUGACCGCAUGGUCUGCGUUUGGAAAGAUUUUUCGGUUGGGGAUGGGCUCGCGGCCUAUCAGCUUGUUGGUGAGGUAAUGGCUCACCAAGGCGUCGACGGGUAGCCGGCCUGAGAGGGUGACCGGCCACACUGGGACUGAGACACGGCCCAGACUCCUACGGGAGGCAGCAGUGGGGAAUAUUGCACAAUGGGCGCAAGCCUGAUGCAGCAACGCCGCGUGAGGGAUGACGGCCUUCGGGUUGUAAACCUCUUUUAGCAGGGAAGAAGCGAAAGUGACGGUACCUGCAGAAAAAGCGCCGGCUAACUACGUGCCAGCAGCCGCGGUAAUACGUAGGGCGCAAGCGUUAUCCGGAAUUAUUGGGCGUAAAGAGCUCGUAGGCGGUUUGUCGCGUCUGCUGUGAAAUCCCGAGGCUCAACCUCGGGCCUGCAGUGGGUACGGGCAGACUAGAGUGCGGUAGGGGAGAUUGGAAUUCCUGGUGUAGCGGUGGAAUGCGCAGAUAUCAGGAGGAACACCGAUGGCGAAGGCAGAUCUCUGGGCCGUAACUGACGCUGAGGAGCGAAAGGGUGGGGAGCAAACAGGCUUAGAUACCCUGGUAGUCCACCCCGUAAACGUUGGGAACUAGUUGUGGGGUCCAUUCCACGGAUUCCGUGACGCAGCUAACGCAUUAAGUUCCCCGCCUGGGGAGUACGGCCGCAAGGCUAAAACUCAAAGGAAUUGACGGGGACCCGCACAAGCGGCGGAGCAUGCGGAUUAAUUCGAUGCAACGCGAAGAACCUUACCAAGGCUUGACAUAUACGAGAACGGGCCAGAAAUGGUCAACUCUUUGGACACUCGUAAACAGGUGGUGCAUGGUUGUCGUCAGCUCGUGUCGUGAGAUGUUGGGUUAAGUCCCGCAACGAGCGCAACCCUCGUUCUAUGUUGCCAGCACGUAAUGGUGGGAACUCAUGGGAUACUGCCGGGGUCAACUCGGAGGAAGGUGGGGAUGACGUCAAAUCAUCAUGCCCCUUAUGUCUUGGGCUUCACGCAUGCUACAAUGGCCGGUACAAAGGGCUGCAAUACCGCGAGGUGGAGCGAAUCCCAAAAAGCCGGUCCCAGUUCGGAUUGAGGUCUGCAACUCG
This 1148-nucleotide ribosomal RNA is filed under the name Microbacterium paraoxydans. Its description in RNAcentral is "bacterial SSU rRNA". It matches the Rfam family "Bacterial small subunit ribosomal RNA", at positions 154 to 1314 of the family's 1533-position model. Lineage: Bacteria; Bacillati; Actinomycetota; Actinomycetes; Micrococcales; Microbacteriaceae. The record is from RNAcentral.